UUAAGCGACUAAGCGUACACGGUGGAUGCCCUGGCAGUCAGAGGCGAUGAAGGACGUGCUAAUCUGCGAUAAGCGUCGGUAAGGUGAUAUGAACCGUUAUAACCGGCGAUUUCCGAAUGGGGAAACCCAGUGUGUUUCGACACACUAUCAUUAACUGAAUCCAUAGGUUAAUGAGGCGAACCGGGGGAACUGAAACAUCUAAGUACCCCGAGGAAAAGAAAUCAACCGAGAUUCCCCCAGUAGCGGCGAGCGAACGGGGAGCAGCCCAGAGCCUGAAUCAGUGUGUGUGUUAGUGGAAGCGUCUGGAAAGGCGCGCGAUACAGGGUGACAGCCCCGUACACAAAAAUGCACAUGCUGUGAGCUCGAUGAGUAGGGCGGGACACGUGGUAUCCUGUCUGAAUAUGGGGGGACCAUCCUCCAAGGCUAAAUACUCCUGACUGACCGAUAGUGAACCAGUACCGUGAGGGAAAGGCGAAAAGAACCCCGGCGAGGGGAGUGAAAAAGAACCUGAAACCGUGUACGUACAAGCAGUGGGAGCACGCUUAGGCGUGUGACUGCGUACCUUUUGUAUAAUGGGUCAGCGACUUAUAUUCUGUAGCAAGGUUAACCGAAUAGGGGAGCCGAAGGGAAACCGAGUCUUAACUGGGCGUUAAGUUGCAGGGUAUAGACCCGAAACCCGGUGAUCUAGCCAUGGGCAGGUUGAAGGUUGGGUAACACUAACUGGAGGACCGAACCGACUAAUGUUGAAAAAUUAGCGGAUGACUUGUGGCUGGGGGUGAAAGGCCAAUCAAACCGGGAGAUAGCUGGUUCUCCCCGAAAGCUAUUUAGGUAGCGCCUCGUGAAUUCAUCUCCGGGGGUAGAGCACUGUUUCGGCAAGGGGGUCAUCCCGACUUACCAACCCGAUGCAAACUGCGAAUACCGGAGAAUGUUAUCACGGGAGRCACACGGCGGGUGCUAACGUCCGUCGUGAAGAGGGAAACAACCCAGACCGCCAGCUAAGGUCCCAAAGUCAUGGUUAAGUGGGAAACGAUGUGGGAAGGCCCAGACAGCCAGGAUGUUGGCUUAGAAGCAGCCAUCAUUUAAAGAAAGCGUAAUAGCUCACUGGUCGAGUCGGCCUGCGCGGAAGAUGUAACGGGGCUAAACCAUGCACCGAAGCUGCGGCAGCGACGCUGAUGCGUUGUUGGGUAGGGGAGCGUUCUGUAAGCCUGCGAAGGUGUGCUGUGAGGCAUGCUGGAGGUAUCAGAAGUGCGAAUGCUGACAUAAGUAACGAUAAAGCGGGUGAAAAGCCCGCUCGCCGGAAGACCAAGGGUUCCUGUCCAACGUUAAUCGGGGCAGGGUGAGUCGACCCCUAAGGCGAGGCCGAAAGGCGUAGUCGAUGGGAAACAGGUUAAUAUUCCUGUACUUGGUGUUACUGCGAAGGGGGGACGGAGAAGGCUAUGUUGGCCGGGCGACGGUUGUCCCGGUUUAAGCGUGUAGGCUGGUUUUCCAGGCAAAUCCGGAAAAUCAAGGCUGAGGCGUGAUGACGAGGCACUACGGUGCUGAAGCAACAAAUGCCCUGCUUCCAGGAAAAGCCUCUAAGCAUCAGGUAACAUCAAAUCGUACCCCAAACCGACACAGGUGGUCAGGUAGAGAAUACCAAGGCGCUUGAGAGAACUCGGGUGAAGGAACUAGGCAAAAUGGUGCCGUAACUUCGGGAGAAGGCACGCUGAUAUGUAGGUGAAGUCCCUCGCGGAUGGAGCUGAAAUCAGUCGAAGAUACCAGCUGGCUGCAACUGUUUAUUAAAAACACAGCACUGUGCAAACACGAAAGUGGACGUAUACGGUGUGACGCCUGCCCGGUGCCGGAAGGUUAAUUGAUGGGGUYAGCCGCAAGGCGAAGCUCUUGAUCGAAGCCCCGGUAAACGGCGGCCGUAACUAUAACGGUCCUAAGGUAGCGAAAUUCCUUGUCGGGUAAGUUCCGACCUGCACGAAUGGCGUAAUGAUGGCCAGGCUGUCUCCACCCGAGACUCAGUGAAAUUGAACUCGCUGUGAAGAUGCAGUGUACCCGCGGCAAGACGGAAAGACCCCGUGAACCUUUACUAUAGCUUGACACUGAACAUUGAGCCUUGAUGUGUAGGAUAGGUGGGAGGCUUGGAAGUGUGGACGCCAGUCUGCAUGGAGCCGACCUUGAAAUACCACCCUUUAAUGUUUGAUGUUCUAACGUUGACCCGUAAUCCGGGUUGCGGACAGUGUCUGGUGGGUAGUUUGACUGGGGCGGUCUCCUCCUAAAGAGUAACGGAGGAGCACGAAGGUUGGCUAAUCCUGGUCGGACAUCAGGAGGUUAGUGCAAUGGCAUAAGCCAGCUUGACUGCGAGCGUGACGGCGCGAGCAGGUGCGAAAGCAGGUCAUAGUGAUCCGGUGGUUCUGAAUGGAAGGGCCAUCGCUCAACGGAUAAAAGGUACUCCGGGGAUAACAGGCUGAUACCGCCCAAGAGUUCAUAUCGACGGCGGUGUUUGGCACCUCGAUGUCGGCUCAUCACAUCCUGGGGCUGAAGUAGGUCCCAAGGGUAUGGCUGUUCGCCAUUUAAAGUGGUACGCGAGCUGGGUUUAGAACGUCGUGAGACAGUUCGGUCCCUAUCUGCCGUGGGCGCUGGAGAACUGAGGGGGGCUGCUCCUAGUACGAGAGGACCGGAGUGGACGCAUCACUGGUGUUCGGGUUGUCAUGCCAAUGGCACUGCCCGGUAGCUAAAUGCGGAAGAGAUAAGUGCUGAAAGCAUCUAAGCACGAAACUUGCCCCGAGAUGAGUUCUCCCUGACYCYUURAGRGUCCUGAAGGAACGUUGAAGACGACGACGUUGAUAGGCCGGGUGUGUAAGCGCAGCGAUGCGUUGAGCUAACCGGUACUAAUGAACCGUGAGGCUUAACCUU
Molecule: ribosomal RNA, 2904 nt
Filed under: Escherichia coli
Lineage: Bacteria; Pseudomonadati; Pseudomonadota; Gammaproteobacteria; Enterobacterales; Enterobacteriaceae
Description: bacterial LSU rRNA
Source: RNAcentral